ACUGGGUGUAUUAUCCCUUAGUGUAAACUAAUGGUUUCACUUCCGGUGCACUUUUUUUCAGUGUGCUUUGGCAAACAUGAAUGACAUACUAUAUAUUACUUGUAAAUAAAAUAUGAAGAAACGUAAAUAUAACUAUGAAAGGCUUUUUCUAGAGCAAAUAUACAUUUUGAGCUGCAGUGCAUGGUGGGAAAUAUGUGACUGAAGUGACAGUUGUCACUUCCCGAUCCCCUUUGCCUAACCACGCCCUAAUCGCGCACAUGUAUAUUACGUCACUUCCUCUUUGCCGCCAACAUUUGAGACGGUGGAGAGUUUUGGAUUUGAUUUGCGUCAGCUGGAUUUGAUUUCCGACAGUUGGGUGAUCGGGUGGCCGAAACAGAGAUCCGACAACAGUAUAUUUAACAGCUGGUUGCCACAGUCGCUACUAUUUCAUAAACCGUAUUCCAAAAACAUCCAUUCAUCUGUCAGUAACGGAUCACCUCCUUCAACAGAGUCACCACGUUUAAAGGAUGACAUGCAGUUACGAACUGAAAGGUAAAUACAACUUAGCUUCAAUCCUUGAUAUUCGUGCUUCGUUGCUAAUUUAAACCGUUCAUACAUUUCAUAAAUACAACGUUAGAAUAUUUGUUUCUAUAAAGAUCUAAAAACGUGUUUUGUAUGUUCGUUUUAGUAUGUACUUGCACAGAGUUUUUCCUCAAAGCUGCAGGUGCCAUCGAUGGAUGCCACAUCAGGAUCAAACCUCCUUGUGACCCUGGCAUCAUUCCAAAAGCGCCCUCCAUUAUAGAGCGUGCUUUUGGAAUGAUGAAGACAAGAUUCAGAGGUAUCUUCCUGCAUGUGCUGGAGGUUGUCACAGCUUGUGCCAUCCUCCACAAUAUCUGCCCCUGUGCUGACGACACCGAGGCCCCAGAGGACGAUGUGGAGGUGAUGAUGAGGAGGAAGCUGGUUUGGAGGCCACCAGCGGUGCUCUCUGGAAGGACCAACUACCUACUGAGGUUUCUGCCCUGGGGGAGGUACCACCUGACAUGGAUUACUUUUAACAGCAUCCGUCCACAGCUAACCCUGUAAACCCUGAAGAUGGAUGAUGCAGUCUACAGUGAAGAUGCAUCCUGAAACUCUGCAGACCAUCCUAGAAGAUGUUCCAAUCACCACCCACAAAGUUCCAUCCUCGUGUCUCAGUUGAAGCAUCUCAUCCAUGUCGACCAUCUUUGUAAAUAGUGUUACAAUGAAUGACCAUUACUGUGUUGGAUUUAUACCUUUAUAUAUAUAAAAAAGGAAACAUUUUAAUACAUCAAAUAUAAACUUCAUUUAUUCUCAGAAAUCAAAUGUGGUUAUUUGUUGGCAUUUUUUUCCAAGAGACUAUAAAGUUGGUCAAAAGUCUCCCUCCUCUCUCGUGCCCUCUGCUCUUCUGCCUCAUGUCCUCUCUGAUCAGGUCUAGAAGCUCUUCACUAGUCGAGUUUCCAUUGACUCUGAAAUUUUGUAAAUUAUGCAUCCCGUCGUGUU
This is a long non-coding RNA of Oryzias melastigma (Indian medaka), 1497 nucleotides long. RefSeq lists it as uncharacterized. The transcript has 3 exons. NCBI's taxonomy places the organism in Eukaryota, Metazoa, Chordata, Actinopteri, Beloniformes, Adrianichthyidae. The record is from RefSeq and is a predicted model, not a curated record.